Molecule: ribosomal RNA, 448 nt
Filed under: uncultured bacterium
Lineage: Bacteria
Description: bacterial SSU rRNA
Rfam family: Bacterial small subunit ribosomal RNA
Source: RNAcentral
CCCAGACUCCUACGGGAGGCAGCAGUGGGGAAUAUUGGACAAUGGGGGGAACCCUGAUCCAGCGACGCCGCGUGAGUGAAGAAGUAUUUCGGUAUGUAAAGCUCUCUCAGCAGGGAAGAAAGAAAUGACGGUACCUGAAGAAGAAGCCCCGGCUAACUACGUGCCAGCAGCCGCGGUAAUACGUAGGGGGCAAGCGUUAUCCGGAUUUACUGGGUGUAAAGGGGGCGCAGACGGCGAUGCAAGCCAGGAGUGAAAGCCCGGGGCCCAACCCCGGGACUGCUCUUGGAACUGCGUGGCUGGAGUGCAGGAGGGGCAGGCGGAAUUCCUGGUGUAGCGGUGAAAUGCGUAGAUAUCAGGAGGAACACCGGUGGCGAAGGCGGCCUGCUGGACUGCAACUGACGUUGAGGCCCGAAAGCGUGGGGAGCAAACAGGAUUAGAUACCCCCGUA